This 1456-nucleotide ribosomal RNA is filed under the name Chile pepper phytoplasma. Its description in RNAcentral is "16S ribosomal RNA". It matches the Rfam family "Bacterial small subunit ribosomal RNA". The record is from RNAcentral. Lineage: Bacteria; Bacillati; Mycoplasmatota; Mollicutes; Acholeplasmatales; Acholeplasmataceae.
UUUAGUGGCGAACGGGUGNAGUAACACGCUAAGAUAACCUGCCUUUNAGACGAGGAUAACAACUGGAAACGGUUGCUAAGACUGGAUAGGAAACAAAAAGGCAUCUUUUUGUUUUUAAAAGACCUUCUUACGAAGGUAUGCUUAAAGAGGGGCUUGCGCCACGUUAGUUAGUUGGUAGGGUAAAAGCCUACCAAGACGAUGAUGUGUAGCUGGACUGAGAGGUUGAACAGCCACAUUGGGACUGAGACACGGCCCAAACUCCUACGGGAGGCAGCAGUAGGGAAUUUUCGGCAAUGGAGGAAACUCUGACCGAGCAACGCCGCGUGAACGAUGAAGUAUUUCGGUAUGUAAAGUUCUUUUAUUGAAGAAGAAAAAGUAGUGGAAAAACUAUAUUGACGUUAUUCAAUGAAUAAGCCCCGGCUAACUAUGUGCCAGCAGCCGCGGUAAGACAUAGGGGGCGAGCGUUAUCCGGAAUUAUUGGGCGUAAAGGGUGCGUAGGCUGUUAGAUAAGUCUAUAAUUUAAUUUCAGUGCUUAACGCUGUCUUGUUAUAGAAACUGUCUUGACUAGAGUGAGAUAGAGGCAAGCGGAAUUCCAUGUGUAGCGGUAAAAUGUGUAAAUAUAUGGAGGAACACCAGAAGCNGUAGGCGGCUUGCUGGGUCUUUACUGACGCUGAGGCACGAAAGCGUGGGUAGCAAACAGGAUUAGAUACCCUGGUAGUCCACGCCGUAAACGAUGAGUACUAAGUGUCGGGGUAAAACUCGGUACUGAAGUUNACACAUUAAGUACUCCGCCUGAGUAGUACGUACGCAAGUAUGAAACUUAAAGGAAUUGACGGGACUCCGCACAAGCGGUGGAUCAUGUUGUUUAAUUCGAAGAUACACGAAAAAUCUUACCAGGUCUUGACAUACUCUGCAAAGCUAUAGAAAUAUAGUGGAGGUUAUCAGGGAUACAGGUGGUGCAUGGUUGUCGUCAGUUCGUGUCGUGAGAUGUUAGGUUAAGUCCUAAAACGAGCGCAACCCUUGUCGUUAAUUGCCAGCACGUAAUGGUGGGGACUUUAGCGAGACUGCCAAUUAAACAUUGGAGGAAGGUGAGGAUUACGUCAAAUCAUCAUGCCCCUUAUGAUCUGGGCUACAAACGUGAUACAAUGGCUGUGACAAAGAGUAGCUGAAACGCGAGUUUUUAGCCAAUCUCAAAAAAGCAGUCUCAGUUCGGAUUGAAGUCUGUAACUCGACUUCAUGAAGUUGGAAUCGCUAGUAAUCGCGAAUCAGCAUGUCGCGGUGAAUACGUUCUCGGGGUUUGUACACACCGCCCGUCAAACCACGAAAGUUAGCAAUACCCGAAAGCAGUAGCUUAACUUCGCAAGAAGAGGGAACUGUCUAAGGUAGGGUUGAUGAUUGGGGUUAAGUCGUAACAAGGUAUCCCUACCGGAAGGUGGGGAUGGAUCACCUCCUUUCU